CCUACGGGAGGCUGCAGUGGGGAAUAUUGCACAAUGGGGGAAACCCUGAUGCAGCGACGCCGCGUGAGUGAAGAAGUAUCUCGGUACGUAAAGCUCUAUCAGCAGGGAAGAAAAUGACGGUACCUGACUAAGAAGCCCCGGCUAACUACGUGCCAGCAGCCGCGGUAAUACGUAGGGGGCAAGCGUUAUCCGGAUUUACUGGGUGUAAAGGGAGCGUAGACGGUGAUGCAAGUCAGAAGUGAAAGCCCGGGGCUCAACUCCGGGACUGCUUUUGAAACUGUGUGACUGGAGUGCAGGAGAGGUAAGCGGAAUUCCUGGUGUAGCGGUGAAAUGCGUAGAUAUCAGGAGGAACACCAGUGGCGAAGGCGGCUUACUGGACUGUAACUGACGUUGAGGCUCGAAAGCGUGGGGAGCAAACAGGAUUAGAUACCCCAGUAGUC
Molecule: ribosomal RNA, 440 nt
Filed under: uncultured bacterium
Lineage: Bacteria
Description: partial 16S ribosomal RNA
Rfam family: Bacterial small subunit ribosomal RNA
Source: RNAcentral